This 406-nucleotide ribosomal RNA is filed under the name uncultured bacterium. RNAcentral describes it as "partial 16S ribosomal RNA". It matches the Rfam family "Bacterial small subunit ribosomal RNA", at positions 30 to 526 of the family's 1533-position model. The record is from RNAcentral.
AUUGAACGCUGGCGGCAGGCUUAACACAUGCAAGUCGAACGAGUGGCGGACGGGUUAGUAAUGUCUCGGAACGUGCCGAGUAGUGGGGGAUAACUGUGCGAAAGGGCAGCUAAUACCGCAUAUUAUUCGCUGGGCCCAUGUCGGAUUAGCUGGUAGGCGGGGGAAAGGCUCACCUAGGCGACGCUCCGUAGCUGGUCUGAGAGGAUGACCAGCCACACUGGAACUGAGACACGGUCCAGCCUCCUACGGGAGGCAGCAGUGGGGAAUAUUGGACAAUGGGCGCAAGCCUGAUGCAGCCAUGCCGCGUGUAUGAAGAAGGCCUUCGGGUUGUAAAGUACUUUGAGCAGGGAGGCGGUACCCGCAGAAGAAGCACCGGCUAACUACGUGCCAGCAGCCGCGGUAAUAC